This 162-nucleotide ribosomal RNA is filed under the name uncultured bacterium. RNAcentral describes it as "partial 16S ribosomal RNA". It matches the Rfam family "Bacterial small subunit ribosomal RNA", at positions 355 to 511 of the family's 1533-position model. The record is from RNAcentral.
UAGGGAAUCUUCCACAAUGGGCGAAAGCCUGAUGGAGCAACGCCGCGUGUGUGAUGAAGGCUUCGGUCGUAAAGCACUGUUGUAAGAGAAGAAUGACAUUGAGAGUAACUGUUCAAUGUGUGACGGUAUCUUACCAGAAAGGAACGGCUAAAUACGUGCCAG